RNAcentral lists this ribosomal RNA (317 nucleotides) under uncultured bacterium. RNAcentral describes it as "bacterial SSU rRNA". It matches the Rfam family "Bacterial small subunit ribosomal RNA", at positions 775 to 1089 of the family's 1533-position model. The record is from RNAcentral.
GGAUUAGAAACCCGGGUAGUCCACGCCGUAAACGAUGUGUGCUUGUCGCUGGGGAGUUCACUCUUCGGUGACGUAGCUAACGCGUUAAGCACACCGCCUGGGAAGUACGGCCGCAAGGUUAAAACUCAAAGGAAUUGACGGGGACCCGCACAAGCGGUGGAGUAUGUGGUUUAAUUCGUCGCAACGCGAAGAACCUUACCAGGCCUUGACAUGCCCUCUAUGAUUUCCAGAGAUGGAUUUCUUCACUUCGGGUGGAGGAGCACAGGUGCUGCAUGGCUGUCGUCAGCUCGUGUCGUGAGAUGUUGGGUUAAGUCCCG